UAAGUAGAUAGUGAAAUCUGGUGGCUCAACCAUUUCAGACUGUUAUCUAAACUGCCAAGCUCGAGAGCGUUAGGGGUAGCUGGAAUUUCUAGUGUAGGAGUGAAAUCCGUAGAUAUUAGAAGAACACCGAUAGCGUAGGCAGGCUACUGGGACGUUUCUGACACUAAGGCACGAAAGCGUGGGGAGCAAACGGGAUUAGAUACCCCGGUAGUCCACGCUGUAAACGAUGGAUACUA
This 236-nucleotide ribosomal RNA is filed under the name uncultured Candidatus Saccharibacteria bacterium. Its description in RNAcentral is "partial 16S ribosomal RNA". It matches the Rfam family "Bacterial small subunit ribosomal RNA", at positions 584 to 818 of the family's 1533-position model. The record is from RNAcentral. Lineage: Bacteria; Candidatus Saccharimonadota.